This 115-nucleotide ribosomal RNA is filed under the name Acanthosepion pharaonis. The record is from RNAcentral. Lineage: Eukaryota; Metazoa; Mollusca; Cephalopoda; Sepiida; Sepiidae.
UUACGGUCAAAUCACGCUUGAAAACACCGGUUCUCGUUCGAUCACCGAAGUUAAGCAUCGUAGAGCCAGGUCAGUACUUAGAUGGGGACCGCUUGGGAACACCUGGUACUGUAAG